Molecule: long non-coding RNA, 468 nt
Organism: Xenia sp. Carnegie-2017
Lineage: Eukaryota; Metazoa; Cnidaria; Anthozoa; Malacalcyonacea; Xeniidae
Exons: 4
Source: RefSeq, a predicted model, not a curated record
GAUUACUCUUUCAUUUCAGCGAGUUACUUGACUACGUGAGUUUGUUUGUAAUGGCAAUCGUAAGCAAAAAAACCUUUCAAAUCAACCUCUUCUAACCACGUUAGAACAUCGUUUGCUACAUAAAGCUCGAUAUGUGCCAGUGAAAGUAUGUCAAGAUAAAUCGAUGGAGAAAGUAGCUUUGCUGAUGAACAAGAAAUCAACUUUUCCGAUGAAGUGGAGUUCAGUGUCGUCGAGGAUCACGUGUCCGGAAGGCUGAAUGCGGUUUGUGUUAGAAUCUUACCACGGGAAACAUAACUCUCCAGGCGGUGGAAAUGAUGGAGCUUUUACUGAUGCAGUUGAUCUCCUGAUUGGUUUUUAUUCUUGUCGUAUUGGCUGUUCGUUAGGAUCAAUAUAAACUCUUGUACACGAACGUGCAGUAAAAUGCGUGUUGAAGUUAUUCGACGACUACUGACAACAUUUGAUGAGUGA